Molecule: ribosomal RNA, 238 nt
Filed under: uncultured bacterium
Lineage: Bacteria
Description: partial 16S ribosomal RNA
Rfam family: Bacterial small subunit ribosomal RNA
Source: RNAcentral
UACGUAGGGACCAAGCGUUGUCCGGAAUUAUUGGGCGUAAAGAGCUCGUAGGCGGUCUGUCGCGUUGGCUGUGAAAACCCGGAGCUCAACUCCGGGCCUGCAGUCGAUACGGGCAGACUGGAGUUCGGCAGGGGAGACUGGAAUUCCUGGUGUAGCGGUGGAAUGCGCAGAUAUCAGGAGGAACACCAAUAGCGAAGGCAGCUCGCUGGGACGGUAUUGACGCUAAGGCGCGAAAGCG